This is a non-coding RNA of Triticum aestivum (bread wheat), 126 nucleotides long. Lineage: Eukaryota; Viridiplantae; Streptophyta; Magnoliopsida; Poales; Poaceae. The record is from Rfam.
GUUCUACUCCCUCCGUCCGAAAAAACUUGUCCCAAGCUUGUCCAUCAAAUGGAUGUAUCUAGCACUAACUUGGUGCUAGAUACAUCCAUUUGAGGGACAAGCUUUUUCAGACGGAGGGAGUAUACA